This is a long non-coding RNA of Mytilus trossulus (common blue mussel), 446 nucleotides long. RefSeq lists it as uncharacterized. The record is from RefSeq and is a predicted model, not a curated record. The transcript has 3 exons. NCBI's taxonomy places the organism in Eukaryota, Metazoa, Mollusca, Bivalvia, Mytilida, Mytilidae.
AGAUGUGGUCUGUUUAUUUACCAGCUUUUAAAUUUGGAAAACCAAAUAGCGUCUGUUCUGUUUGAUUCAAUUUCGUAUGAUUGAGUGGUUGGCUAAGUGUAGAUAAACUAAUUGCCAGACCGUUCAACGGGUUUUCCAAAUUAUUGGACCGAAGAAAACACUAGGGAUCCCCACUGUCAACUGUUAAAUUAUAAAGAUAUCUGGGACAACAGAAGAUGGUCACACACCUAUGGCUGAUGCUUGCAAUGUUUGUUUAUCUGGGGGCAGCUUCUAAUGAUUUCAACGAAGCUCUGAAGCAGAGGUUUAAAAGAGCGACACAUCCUGGAAUACUAAUGGAGAAAAAAGAAGCAUUAGGUUUCCUACAUCACAGGGUAAAGAGAGGACUGGGUGAAGAGUGUAAUGAAGGCUGUUCCUGGGAAGAAGUCAUCGAGGUCUAUGAACCCAAC